CCAGAGAGAGUCUUUAAAAAAGACCGCCGAAGAGGCAAGCUCGGAAGCCGGGUGAAACUUUCAGGCAAAAGGACGGGGAA
Molecule: non-coding RNA, 80 nt
Filed under: uncultured Merdimonas sp.
Lineage: Bacteria; Bacillati; Bacillota; Clostridia; Lachnospirales; Lachnospiraceae
Description: Glycine riboswitch
Rfam family: Glycine riboswitch aptamer
About the family: This family represents the bacterial glycine riboswitch.
Source: RNAcentral